UCUUAGUCAGAAUGUGUCAGCAGUAGCCGUGGAAGGCUAUCUGAGACAGGUCAGGAGGCAUUGAGGAACCUUCCCAACUUGUUUAUUGGCCUGAACAGAACCUCAAUGCUGGAUAUCUUGAGCCUGUUGUACAUGGGCUGUGAUGGAGGGAAUGUAUAAUAACCUGGAGCAAGCCCUUGGAGUGCUGGUUUGUACCUUCCAGCGCUACUGCCGGAAGGAAGGCAACAAACAUACGCUCAGCAAAGGGGAGCUGCUCGAUCUAUUGAAAACAGAGCUCCCCAGUCUGAAAAUGUUACGAAUAAAAGAAGGAGCCUUUGAGGAGCUGAUGACGUUGCUCGAUUCGAACAAGGACGGACAAGUUGACUUUGAGGAGUACAUCCGAUUUGUGUCAGCAGCUUGCACCUGCUUUCACGACUUCUUCAAGGACUCCCCUGUGGUCUUGCCACGGGUGCAAUAAAACCCAAGCAGCGAUCAAGCUUGGAGCAUGGUGGACGUUUCGUCGUAGGUAAUAAUUUCAGGAGUGUAGGUAGCGAGGAAAGGGUAUUGCUCAAAGAUGUCCAAGCAAGACUUUUUAAUGAAGCUCUAAGGGGUAAAGAACUCUCUGUAGAGAUGCCAAAUUGGUCUUCACGUGACCAGAUGGGCUAAAAGGUUUAUUCAGGAUUAGCCUCUUCAGAUUCAGGUAUAUCAUACGGCUAUGCAGAGAGUUCUCCUUUUUUGCCGUAAAUCCUUACAGUUGCUUACCCAGUCCCAGCCACUGAAUGUAGUAAAAUACUAGAAUGAUGUCCUGCCCGAACUUAUGGUAUUACACUGAAAGUGGACAUUGGCCAUGGUUUACUGAGUAUGAGGCUGAAGAUUAUCAUUCUACUACUGCCUCUCAAGGGUACAAGACUCUAUUCCUGCCACUGGCAGUAGCAACAAAGUUCAGCAUUAAACUGGAACUGUAAUCUAGGACUGCCUUAUAAUUCCUGGAGAAUGUCUCUUCUAGUUACAAAGGGAAUAGGGCCAUUUUAGUGCCACAGAUGGCUUGUACGGCACUGAUGUGGGGAUAUAGUGAUUUUGUUUCUUUGGUAAUGGUGCGAUUUGAAAAGUAUUUCUCAUUGCCAGUUGAAAGCAGCCACUUGGUUGGCACAGAAGGCUAGAGAUGUGUACAAUUACUUGGUUUACCUAUGUCAUGGAUCUGCCACUCAAAUGCAUCUUUCAAAUGGAAAUAGGAGUCUCUUUCAGACAUUCUGUUUUAAGGCUCUAACUGUAUGUAUUGGGAGCAUGUGUCACCCAAGUUCCUUCUGUUGCUCACAGUUCCCAUUUUGUGUGAAUAGCACAAUGUAUACAUUUUCUAGCUUUGGUACAUGUAAAAAGAAUGCCACAUUCUUGAAUAUUUGUUCAUGUGGACCUAAGGCUUGCCAUUGUUGCCUCAGAAAAUGCUGGGAGAUUUUGAGGGUUUCAAAGGCAAGAGACUUGCCACGUCUGUUUGGGCAUGCCAGUCCAGCUAUAAAACAUCUGUGUGCAUCCUCCUUCUUAUGCACCACAAAGCUGCAACUCGUCAAGACUGUAAAUGCAGCUGAGCUGUAACUAUUGUACAGUAAAUCCAAUGUCAUA
Molecule: long non-coding RNA, 1596 nt
Organism: Eublepharis macularius
Lineage: Eukaryota; Metazoa; Chordata; Lepidosauria; Squamata; Eublepharidae
Exons: 3
Source: RefSeq, a predicted model, not a curated record